Molecule: unclassified non-coding RNA, 322 nt
Filed under: soil metagenome
Description: partial contains 5.8S ribosomal RNA, internal transcribed spacer 2, and large subunit ribosomal RNA
Rfam family: 5.8S ribosomal RNA (bases 1-120)
Source: RNAcentral
GAUGAAGAACGUAGCGAAAUGCGAUAAGUAAUGUGAAUUGCAGAACUCAGUGAAUCAUCGAAUCUUUGAACGCACAUUGCGCCCUGUGGUAUUCCGCAGGGCAUGCCUGUUCGAGCGUCAUUUCAACCCUCAAGCUCUGCUUGGUGUUGGGCCCUGCCCGCUGCGGCCGGCCCUAAAGACAGUGGCGGUGCCGCCUGGCCCUGAGCGUAGUACAUCUCUCGCUCCAGUGCCCGGUGGUAGCCUGCCAGAACCCCAACUCUCGUGGUUGACCUCGGAUCAGGUAGGGAUACCCGCUGAACUUAAGCAUAUCAAAAGCGGAGGA